Molecule: ribosomal RNA, 445 nt
Filed under: uncultured bacterium
Lineage: Bacteria
Description: partial 16S ribosomal RNA
Rfam family: Bacterial small subunit ribosomal RNA
Source: RNAcentral
GUGAGGAAUAUUGGUCAAUGGGCGGGAGCCUGAACCAGCCAAGUCGCGUGAAGGAAGAAGGAUCUAUGGUUCGUAAACUUCUUUUGCAGGGGAAUAAAGUGCAGGACGUGUCCUGUUUUGUAUGUACCCUGAGAAUAAGGAUCGGCUAACUCCGUGCCAGCAGCCGCGGUAAUACGGAGGAUCCGAGCGUUAUCCGGAUUUAUUGGGUUUAAAGGGUGCGUAGGUGGUUUGAUAAGUCAGCGGUGAAAGUUUGCAGCUUAACUGUAAAAAUGCCGUUGAAACUGUCGGACUUGAGUGUAAAUGAGGUAGGCGGAAUGCGUGGUGUAGCGGUGAAAUGCAUAGAUAUCACGCAGAACUCCGAUUGCGAAGGCAGCUUACUAAGCUACAACUGACACUGAAGCACGAAAGCGUGAGGAUCAAACAGGAUUAGAAACCCGUGUAGUCC